GGAGCCGGGCCGUGCUGCUCGCUGCCCCGCAGCUCCGGACAGCCUCUGCUGAGCCACCCGGGCUCGCUUUGUGCUCCCUCGCCGUUAUUAAACUCUUGAGCCAAGCUGGAGGCUGUUUCUUCGGCCCGGGCGGGAGGAGAGCGGCCGCGGCCCUUCGGGACCUCCGGCCUGAAGGGAGCGCUUACCGCGUCGCGCCGGGCUCCAGCGAGAGCUUUGUCGGCACGCUGCGACGCGAGAAGGCUUCCUAUUGCCAGGAGGUCUCUCGUCUUUUACGUGUUACUGGCGUUUUCCUCUGGCGGGGCGCGGGAAGGAAGGAAGGCGCGGCGGCCAUCUCCUUCCCGCCCAGCGCUGCUGAGGGGAGCCCGAGCGGCGGCUGCUGAGGUGACUGCCGGGAGGCGCCUGGGGGCUCUUCCGAGCCCGGCAUCCCGAAAAUAAAAUGCUUGAAGUGCUACGAAACACUCACAGGUAGACACACGUAUGAAGACCAAGAGCAGUGCAAGACCAGACAAAGUGCAGGUAUGUAUGUAGACAAAAAAUGCUACUGCAGGUACAAGUUCUAAUUGGAUAAGAUAGAAAGUUUUCUUGAAGAGACUGCUGGCAAAGAGGCUGAGUUAGCUACAUUCUAUUUUUAAGAAGUAUACAUUUCUGCCUGCAUUUAUCAAGCUGGCAUAGCAGCUAUCUAUUACAGCACACUAACAGCUCCAUCAGGUGGCCCAAGCAAUCUUACCCAAAUUUUUAAAUACUGAAAGCAGAGAAUGGCAAGAAACAGUUGUAACGUACACAGUCCUAACCUAGUUAAAAGUUCCCAAGACCAUGCUGUUGUUCAUCUUUGUUCUUCUCCAAUAUGAACAGUAGUAGAAAAGGUCUUCUGCCAUCCAGCCAAUAUCAAAGUUUAAGCUGAAGCAAAGCAUCAAUUGUCUAAUGUAAAUAUUUUCCCCAGGAAACGCCAGGGUUUUUGACUCAUUAUCAUUCUAACAUAGCAUCUUUCUCUGGACACUACCAAUUAGGAUCCCAAACUAUAAAAUAGUUUAUUUAGAGAGGCUUGAAAAAAGUGAUCUGAAAUUACCCAUUUCCUUCUAUAGUAUUUGCACUGCUGAAAAUAGAAGUAUUCAUGAUUUUUUUUUUAAUUUUUAAAAUACAAACAGGAUCUUCCCCACACACUCAAUGAAUGAUUAGUGACUUCAGGUACUUUAAGUAAUUAAGGUGCAUUAUACUUAAAAUCUGUAAGAAAGCUCAUGUGAAAAGUGAUUCCCUCAUCAACUGGAACAGCUAAACCUUUUUCCAAGAGAACAUUGUUGGUUAGUCAGCCUUGGACAAUGAAAUAAGGAUCUCCUAAAUGUACAAGUCAAAAAAUAAGUUAAGUCCCAAGAAAUCAUACACUGGUGCCUUCAUAAAGGGCAGGGAAGAGAGAGGUAUGUUGUUUUACUCAAGUUUGGCAACAAUUUUUUUUAUAUAGUUUUGCUCUAUUAUAUUUGAAGACACAUGCGGGGAGAAAGAGAAAAAAAUCUAGGUAUAUCUUUCAGCAAAUAAGUAAUACCUGGGUCAAUAAUCAUUUAUCUAAAGGGACAGAUGGGCUCUGAGGCACAAACAGUGCUAAUGAGAGUCCCUCACAUUAGUCAGUCUCCACACAUUCUAAUGGUGCAUCAUUUGCAGCAUCUUUUCCUGAUUUUCCCCCCCAUGAAGAAACCCACAGCCAAUGUUUUAUGGCCUUUCCGGUGCUAAAGGCUAUUAGAAGUAACUCUUCAAGGUUUCUUGAGUGAUGAGCAUUUCUAAAGCUUUUUGCAUAAAUAUUAACUUUAUUGGAAAAUAGUUCACUUAACCAAUCAGAUUAACACACACCAAAUUAUUCAAGUUAAAAAAAAAAAACUAACCUAAAAUGCUUUGGAAAAUAAUCUGCUUCAGUUACAGUAGCAAACACAUGGUAGCCUAAAACAAGUACUUGGGGGUGUCUUCAUCAGCUAACAGGCAAUCAAGUCAUGUAAACACAGAAAACACCCUGUAAUAUUUUUGUUAAUGAGUGUACCUAGAGUACAUAGAAUUAUUUUCUUUUAAAAUCUGUAUAGAAAUAUGCACAAAGUAAACAUUGGUUUACAUAUAAUUACAAGUUGUAGUUAUUUAUAUGAUGGGUUCAUGCUUUUUAUCCAUUUAUUUUCAUUUCCAGAGUGCGCAUUCAAACUAGUAUCUGGAACUUUCUUAGUUGUACAUUAUAAUUAUUUUCCACAUUCAGGAUAACUUCACUAGAAAUAUGCACACACCCUUCCCCCCCCAAGUCUUUAAUGGUAUCAAGAGCUCUGCAUAAGCUGAAUUUUUAUAGCAUCUGCAGAGAUCAGCAAAGGCACCAGUUCUGAAGAUAACACCACAGUUUUUUUAGAUUUAAAAGGGAAGUGAAAACUAACAUUAAAAUUUUUUUACUAGAUCAUCUAAAAGGUAUCAAAAUAAUGAAACAAUUCUUCUCUGAAUCGCCUUUUUAAAAAUACAUUUAAGAUGUUGUUUGAAAGUGUAGGUCAGGUUUAAUUCUUUAGUUAACAUCAGACCAUGAGCCUCACGGACUUGCUUCAGUCUUGAACAUUAAAGAUGUACAUAAAAGCAUAUAUGUAUUUUUCAUUAAAAACUAUUUUCUAUGUACUGCUAAUGUCACUGCAUGUCAGAACUAAUCUUGUUCUGUGACUCAUGGGAUAUGGUCAUUCUGAAGUCACGCUGUUGGGGGCAUUUCCAUUUUAAUUUCUUACUGGUCUGCACAGCUUUUGAUAAUCUGUAGCUCUAUAAUGCUGCGACUCAGCCUGGUCAGAAGCAAUUUUAAUGGGCAUUCCAAACGUAUCCUUCAACAGUACUUCAAGUAUUUUAAACUGCUUAUUAAAGUACAUACUGCCUUACGAGAACAGAAAGCCAUACUUAAUGGGACAGGAAGACAUGGAAAAGCUUAAAGCACAAGUCUGACAAAAAUGGAAUUUUGCAUCUAGCAGAGUAAUUAACAAUUUUGGUAGGCUAUGUUUUAAGUCCUAGUCAUAAAGGGUUUGAGGAACCUUCUCUCUACAGCUUAGCACUUUCAAAUCACAGUAUUUGUGAUAAAUGAUGUUCCAGCAGUAGGAGCUUUGGUUUUUUAAGGCCAGCUAAGUUGAGCAAUGGAGAGAUGUUCACAAACAGAAUGAGACCAGUACUUAAGACUGGAAACAUUCUGGUCACAGCUAAAUUCUAUAUGAACACUGCUACUUCAUGCACUUCUACUUCAAAAUGAAUGUACAGUACAAAAUUAACUACAGUAUCCAAACUUACAUAAAACAUCUCCACAACUGUCUAACCUUGUUGUACAGCUCUGCAUGAACGAUUAUACUUUGCAUCACAGUAACAAUCCUAAGACUACAAGACCAAAGAAAUGGAAAAAACUGUGGGAGACUUUAAUGUCAACUGUUAGAAAACAGAGGAAAGACAUUACAAACAUGGGGAAGCCAAGACUGUACACCAUCUUAGUGUUCAUACUGCUUGCUUUUCUUAUCUGUAAUUCAUAAAUCUGUGAAAAUCAUUUAACUACAAAACUUUAGGUAGAAAAAUAACUGCAAAUCUUGUCUAUAUGCGUUAUUAAUAUGUACUAGUAUCAAUUGUUUAGUUGAGAUACAGUGCGGUAACUCUUUGAAAUAAAUUACAAAGAGUCCAUAUAGAGAGAGCAAGAGUACCUUAUUCCUGGCAUUUUAUAGCAAUGUAGUAUGGAAUAUUUUUAGUCAUGGAGGUAAGUCAGAACAGCUACUGUACUUCCAAAUAGAACCCAACUUAUUUCAUGUUAACUUUCGAGCAUAGCCAAAGUCCUUGAGACUAGGGAAGCCAGAAGCAACAGCUAUCUAGACCUCAAAGAACUUUUCCUAUGCCUUCAGGAUACAAAUCUUUGAUACGAUCACAGCAUUUUCAUCCAAUGAAAGAAUAAGCCGAAGAAAGAAAAAUAAAUGUAAACCAAGUUUAUUUUGCUUUUAAGUAGUGUUCUUUAAGCACUACAGCAUGGUAAACAAUGUAAAUUAGUAUAAGUCAUCUCAAAAGCCAGAGUUGUUUUUUUUUUUUUAUUUUAUGAGUUGUUAAAAAGAUGCAGCCUAUUCUAACAGGAUAAAUAUUUUAACCAUUUCACUUCGAGUUAAUGAAGGCUCACAAAUGAGCAACACUCCUCAUUGAGGAAAACAAAAAGCUGUUGUCGACAAAGCGACAGCACACACACAAAAACAAAAGAACUGUGUAAAAAUAACUAACUGUACUGUGUUCCCAUACUCUUUAGAAGUUGCUUUACAAUGGGAUGAUAUGCACAUGAUCUUGCUGCAAACUUGCCAUACAACUUGCAAAUACAUGUAGCCUAGCCUUACCACUCAAGUCCAAAAAGCUGCUAACUGAUCAAAAAAAUGCAGCACUAUAAUCCUCUGCAUAACAAUUAACUAACUGUUUUACUUAUUACCUUUUCUCCUAGACUGCAGGGCAGGCUAGAAAGAAAGUGAUCCCAAAUUAAAAAUCGAUACUCUUACAGGAAAUUGUAUAAUUUUGCAAUAUAGUCUUUUACAACUUAUGUUUUGCCUAUUUUCCCCUUAGCCACAAAAUGGGCAUGAAGUAAUUACUUUGAAAAUGCAUUAAUUUUCAACUUCAUGCAAAUCUAAAUAAAGAUGACCAAACAAAAGCUUAAACAAUGGAAGGAUAUUUCACAGAAAAUUUCUUAUACAAAAAACACAUAAGAAAAAGGGCCACUAGGUGACAUUUUAAUUUACAAAUUGGCAUCAUUUUGGUCAACAAAUAUCCAAGUGCUGUUUUCUUCUACCACAACAAAGUAGCUGUACAGAAAGAAAACUGCAUAACUUGUUUUAUUAUUAUUUUUUAAUCACACAUCUCCUCAGGAAUUUCAUGUGGAUUAAGGAUGCCAGGUACAGACAUCUGAAGUUUAUGCUUCUCCUCUUGAGCCUGCCGAAGGGCUGUUUCUCUUUCCUCCAAGAAUAAAUCUGAUGUGUCUUCACCUGCAAAUU
Long non-coding RNA from Cygnus olor (mute swan), 4985 nucleotides. RefSeq lists it as uncharacterized. NCBI's taxonomy places the organism in Eukaryota, Metazoa, Chordata, Aves, Anseriformes, Anatidae. The transcript is spliced from 3 exons. The record is from RefSeq and is a predicted model, not a curated record.